GACGAACGCUGGCGGCGUGCUUAACACAUGCGAGUCGAACGGAAAGGCCAGGCGGGUGUGGGGUGCUCGAGUGGCGAACGGGGGAGUAACACGUGAGUAACCUGCCCUUGACUGUGGGAUAACUUAAGGAAACUGGGGCUAAUACCGGAUAGGAGCUCCUGCUGCAUGGUGGGGGUUGGAAAGUUUCGGCGGUUGGGGAGGGACUCGCGGCGUAUCAGCUUGUUGGUGGGGUAGUGGCUUACCAAGGCUUUGACGGGUAGCCGGCCUGAGAGGGUGACCCGCCCCCUUCUCCCUGCGAUCCGUCCCGUGCUCCUCCUGGCGGCAGCAGUGGGGCAUAUUGCACAAUGCGCGGAAGCCUGCUGCAGCACCUCCGCGUGCGGGCUGACGGCCUUCGGGUUGUCAACCUCUUUCGCCUGUGACGAAGCGUGCGUGACGGUAAUGGGUAAAGAAGCACCGGCUAACUACGUG
Molecule: ribosomal RNA, 468 nt
Filed under: uncultured bacterium
Lineage: Bacteria
Description: partial 16S ribosomal RNA
Rfam family: Bacterial small subunit ribosomal RNA
Source: RNAcentral